AAGGACUCUCGGCAACGGAUAUCUCGGCUCUCGCAUCGAUGAAGAACGUAGCGAAAUGCGAUACUUGGUGUGAAUUGCAGAAUCCCGCGAACCAUCGAGUCUUUGAACGCAAGUUGCGCCCGAAGCCAUUCGGCCGAGGGCACGCCUGCCUGGGCGUCACGC
Molecule: ribosomal RNA, 162 nt
Filed under: Rytigynia seyrigii
Lineage: Eukaryota; Viridiplantae; Streptophyta; Magnoliopsida; Gentianales; Rubiaceae
Description: 5.8S ribosomal RNA
Rfam family: 5.8S ribosomal RNA
About the family: 5.8S ribosomal RNA (5.8S rRNA) is a component of the large subunit of the eukaryotic ribosome.
Source: RNAcentral